GACGUUCGUUGUGAUCACGGGACGUGAGGAAUUAGGCUCUGCUACUGGAGGGGGAGGAACCUCUUCUCGAUGGGAAGAGUGCCUCGUUGAUCCGGUUGCAAUCGAGUGUUGGGCCCUGAUUUUUAUCAUAGUGAAUACGAUCUCUUCCCCCUUCCUAGCGCACCAAUCUGUUGCGGCCAACUCCCCAUCGCCUGUCGUCGGAAAGGAAUACCUGCAAGACAGC
This 223-nucleotide long non-coding RNA is filed under the name Elaeis guineensis (African oil palm). RNAcentral's name for it is "long non-coding RNA (EGUI_LNC028555)". Lineage: Eukaryota; Viridiplantae; Streptophyta; Magnoliopsida; Arecales; Arecaceae. The record is from RNAcentral.